Non-coding RNA from Pogona vitticeps (central bearded dragon), 348 nucleotides. Lineage: Eukaryota; Metazoa; Chordata; Lepidosauria; Squamata; Agamidae. The record is from RefSeq and is a predicted model, not a curated record.
UGGAAGGAGCAGCAUCACCAAGAGGGGUAGCUUGCCAUUACUUGAUUUUCAUUCCUUCACCCAUAAGCAUGCUGCCAUUCACCUAUUCAGCGAUUUUAACCUGCAGAUCCUCAUGAAAGGAUUGCUUCUGAAAGGGACUACGCCAGCAUCAAUUAUCCUGCCAAGAUAACCUCACAAACAUUGUGUUGCUUUUUGGACUGGUCUGUGACAACUGUUUGUGCCUCUAGCAACCAGGCAGUUGAUAUGGGGCAAUCUCUGGUGUCCCUGCCUUGUUGACAGGACUAUGAUUUAAAUGCAAGAGGAGUACAUUUAACUAUGACAUGGUUGCUCUCCUAUGGGGUGGAUGUA